Molecule: non-coding RNA, 89 nt
Organism: Notechis scutatus (mainland tiger snake)
Lineage: Eukaryota; Metazoa; Chordata; Lepidosauria; Squamata; Elapidae
Source: RefSeq, a predicted model, not a curated record
UCUGAAUUUCAAAUAUCAACCAAAGAAAGAGCCCCCUGGGAAACAACUAGGAGAAAGUGGGACCCAAAAGGGGAGGUGGAAUUUUUUUU